UACGUAGGGCGCAAGCGUUGUCCGGAAUUAUUGGGCGUAAAGAGCUCGUAGGCGGUUUGUCGCGUCUGCUGUGAAAGUCCGAGGCUCAACCUCGGAUCUGCAGUGGGUACGGGCAGACUAGAGUGUGGUAGGGGAGACUGGAAUUCCUGGUGUAGCGGUGGAAUGCGCAGAUAUCAGGAGGAACACCAAUGGCGAAGGCAGGUCUCUGGGCCACAACUGACGCUGAGGAGCGAAAGCGUGGGUAGCAAACAGG
RNAcentral lists this ribosomal RNA (253 nucleotides) under uncultured Demequina sp. Its description in RNAcentral is "partial 16S ribosomal RNA". It matches the Rfam family "Bacterial small subunit ribosomal RNA", at positions 524 to 776 of the family's 1533-position model. The record is from RNAcentral. Lineage: Bacteria; Bacillati; Actinomycetota; Actinomycetes; Micrococcales; Demequinaceae.